GGGGGUAUGGUGUAGCCUGGUUAGCAUUGGUGCUUUGGGAGCAUCAGACAGCAGUUCAAAUCUGCUUACCCUCA
Molecule: transfer RNA, 74 nt
Filed under: archaeon
Lineage: Archaea
Description: tRNA-Pro
Rfam family: tRNA
About the family: Transfer RNA (tRNA) molecules are approximately 80 nucleotides in length.
Source: RNAcentral